RNAcentral lists this ribosomal RNA (460 nucleotides) under uncultured bacterium. Its description in RNAcentral is "partial 16S ribosomal RNA". It matches the Rfam family "Bacterial small subunit ribosomal RNA", at positions 338 to 795 of the family's 1533-position model. The record is from RNAcentral.
CCUACGGGCGGCAGCAGUGAGGAAUAUUGGUCAAUGGACGAAAGUCUGAACCAGCCAUGCCGCGUGCAGGAAGACGGCUCUAUGAGUUGUAAACUGCUUUUGUACAAGGGUAAACCUGAAUACGUGUAUUCAGCUGAAAGUACUGUACGAAUAAGGAACGGCUAACUCCGUGCCAGCAGCCGCGGUAAUACGGAGGAUCCAAGCGUUAUCCGGAUUUAUUGGGUUUAAAGGGUGCGUAGGCGGAUUGAUAAGUUAGAGGUGAAAUGUCCGGGCUCAACUCGGGAACUGCCUCUAAUACUGUUGAUCUAGAGAGUAGAUGCGGUAGGCGGAAUGUAUGGUGUAGCGGUGAAAUGCUUAGAGAUCAUACAGAACACCGAUUGCGAAGGCAGCCUGCCGGGGUGCGACUGACGCUGAGGCUCGAAGGUGCGGGUAUCAAACAGGAUUAGAUACCCGUGUAGUC